CUCAAAUGAAUUGACGGGGACCCGCACAAGCGGUGGAUGAUGUGGAUUAAUUCGAUGCAACGCGAAAAACCUUACCUACCCUUGACAUGUACGGAAGGCCGAAGAGAUUUGGCUGUGCUCGAAAGAGAACCGUAACACAGGUGCUGCAUGGCUGUCGUCAGCUCGUGUCGUGAGAUGUUGGGUUAAGUCCCGCAACGAGCGCAACCCUUGUCAUUAGUUGCUACAUUUAGUUGAGCACUCUAAUGAGACUGCCGGUGACAAACCGGAGGAAGGUGGGGAUGACGUCAAGUCCUCAUGGCCCUUAUGGGUAGGGCUUCACACGUCAUACAAUGGUACAUACAGAGGGCCGCCAACCCGCGAGGGGGAGCUAAUCCCAGAAAGUGUAUCGUAGUCCGGAUCGCAGUCUGCAACUCGACUGCGUGAAGUUGGAAUCGCUAGUAAUCGCGGAUCAGCAUGUCGCGGUGAAUACGUUCCCGGGUCUUGCACACACCGCCCGU
Molecule: ribosomal RNA, 497 nt
Filed under: uncultured bacterium
Lineage: Bacteria
Description: partial 16S ribosomal RNA
Rfam family: Bacterial small subunit ribosomal RNA
Source: RNAcentral